UGCCGUUAGCCAUCCUCUCUUGCAUCUCCGCCUUCCGCUCUGACUCUUCCCUCUCAGAAACCAUCCCAGCCCCUGCAAAAUUUCCACCUCUCUCUAUGCAAAGGAAUUUGUCUCUCCUGAGUCCCUGAAGACCUGGCUCUUCUUCUGGGAGGAGGGAAGUAGCCACAGCUUUGAGAUCACAGCCAUGAGAGUUCACUGUGGUCACUAGCCACAAGUUGCUCUUCCCAGCAGCUCUCUGAGGACACCAGACAGCGUCUGUGUUCCAGACUCCGUGGCUGCAAACACGGUUUUACAUAAAUGGAUGGAUGUGAUCAGACAGCAACGUUUUCUACAUUUUUCUUUCCCUAGUCUCCUUGGUUUUCUUCUCUCUCCUUCCCUCGUUGUUAUCCACGCUACUUACCUAGGACAACAACGACUCAUGGAAAUCCCUGCUACUCACCUGAUCAGAGUAUGAUAAUCUCCUUUGCCCUGGUACCACCACCAUCGGCAGCACGCUCGGCUCUGCAGUUUGGCAGGUGCAGGCCACCUCACUGUUACUCCAGUUCGCGUUUCCUUGGUCUGUCGUGAAGGUGACCAUCUUUAUUUUUUCUUGGAUGGUCUCUGCACAUCCUUUGCUCACUUUCCCAUUGAGUGUUUACCAUCUUGUCAACCUGGAAGAGCUCUUUUUGUGUUAACCCUCUGUUCAUCCCCUACAUUAUAAGUAUAGCAGAACCUCCACAGCUGACCACCUCCCUACCCUGACCAUCUCCUUAAGUUGACCUGAUUUUCCUAGACCUGGUACACACCGCAUGUACGUAUCAGUACAAUAGGCCAGUUCCUGUUGUUACCACAUCUGUAUGUUGGCCAAUUUGUUAUAGACCCUUGGGUGUCAGCUUGCAAGGGUUCUACUGUGUUUUUUUAAUCUUAUCUUUACUGAUUUAUUUUGCCUAUAGUAUCUUUUUCUACAUAAAAAACUUUUUCCCCAACAUUAUACAGUCUGCCCUUUAUAGCUUCUGAACAUACUCUUGCUUUAAACCUCCUCACCCCCAGAAUGUGUAAA
This is a long non-coding RNA of Nycticebus coucang (slow loris), 1039 nucleotides long. RefSeq lists it as uncharacterized. The record is from RefSeq and is a predicted model, not a curated record. NCBI's taxonomy places the organism in Eukaryota, Metazoa, Chordata, Mammalia, Primates, Lorisidae. The transcript is spliced from 4 exons.